UGUCUUCCCCACACUACAGACAGUGACAACCUAACGACGACGUCUGUCGAGGUUAACAUCGCCGUUACUGACUUUAAACGCAAGUAGACAAAAGCACAGUUGUGUGUGUUUCUUGCUGAACUCGUUGUAUAGAUCUCAAACCAAACGGUCUACCAAUCACGAUGACUAAACAAACACAGUUGUAUCUAGUUGUCGUGUGCUUGCUGCUUUUCAUAACACUGGAAGCAAGAAACAUUCACCACAGCAGUGUGCAUCCUGGAAGGUGCGCCUCGAACGGCGGGUCGUGUCGCGAAUUAGCUUGUUGCAACAGACUGGAUUACGUAUGCGAAAAUAAUAUAUGCACAUAUCGACCAUUAUGCAGAAAGUAGAUGGACGGACCUUCUCAGAGUACAAGCGGACUAAUGUCACCUGCUAUUAUGAAUAUUGGAUGCUGGAUGUACCCAAUAGUAACAACAACAAGAUGCGAAUCUGGGAUGUCAACGAAUAAUCGGAAGUCAUCGCACCAGUAUAAGAUCACCGAGUUCAAAGGUGUCUGUUAAUUUAUUGUAUUUUCAUGCAUUUAAAGGUUUUCACUGUAUUUCUCAAUUGCUCUGUUUGUUCAAGAAAUUCAACAAUAAAGUAAAUUCCACUAAAAGCAAA
Pomacea canaliculata is the source of this 639-nucleotide long non-coding RNA. RefSeq lists it as uncharacterized. The transcript has 5 exons. NCBI's taxonomy places the organism in Eukaryota, Metazoa, Mollusca, Gastropoda, Architaenioglossa, Ampullariidae. The record is from RefSeq and is a predicted model, not a curated record.